RNAcentral lists this microRNA precursor (114 nucleotides) under Marmota monax (woodchuck). The record is from RNAcentral. Lineage: Eukaryota; Metazoa; Chordata; Mammalia; Rodentia; Sciuridae.
GAGAUAUCUCUCUCUCUCUCUCUCUCUCUCUCUCUCUCUCUUUCUCUGUAUAUAUAUAUAGAUAUACAGAGAGAGAGAGAGAGAGAGAGAGAGAGAGAGAGAGGAAAGUGAGCG